This is a long non-coding RNA of Solanum pennellii, 305 nucleotides long. RefSeq lists it as uncharacterized. NCBI's taxonomy places the organism in Eukaryota, Viridiplantae, Streptophyta, Magnoliopsida, Solanales, Solanaceae. The record is from RefSeq and is a predicted model, not a curated record. The transcript is spliced from 3 exons.
CCUGAGUAGCUAAGCUGAAACACAGAAGAAUUGAGUUGAAGAUUCUCCUCUCCAGAUUUUGAUUUGCUCGACGAAAUGAAGAGUUGAUGCUGAAGAACUGGGGAUCGAAGAAAUAAAAAUCGAAGAGCUGAAGGACGGAAGCUGAAGAACUGAUUUCAUCAAAUUUGUUUACUAGAGGAAUUGAUAUUCAAGCAGUUAACGUUGUUAUCAAUUCUGAUUUUCCUAAGAACUCAGAAACGUAUUUGCACAGGGGAAAUGGAGGUGAUCAAAUUUGAAGUGGAUGAUGAAGAGUUUUUGAACUAUUG